Molecule: long non-coding RNA, 217 nt
Filed under: Prunus persica (peach)
Lineage: Eukaryota; Viridiplantae; Streptophyta; Magnoliopsida; Rosales; Rosaceae
Description: long non-coding RNA (PPER_LNC003577)
Source: RNAcentral
ACCGCCGGUUACCGACCGAACCGAUAUAUGUAUAUUAUUUAUUAAUUAUUAUUUAAAUUACACAUGUUAGAAUUUGAUUGGUUAUAAUGGAGAGUUCUAUGGGAUUAUACUAGAACCGGCUACACAUAAUCACCUGAACUCUUCUUCUUCGCCAAACCCUUCGAUCUCUAUCUCAUUUUCAACUCAUUUUAGCCAAACCCUUCAAACCCUCUCCUCU